GAAAGAUUUUAGCCAACAGAUCCGAAUUAAUUAUAAAGAUACCUCUCUGGUAGCUCAUAUUUGGUGUCUUUACACGCAACUCGUAAUGGUGGCACGUUUUAAGGAAUAUAGAUGAUGAAGUUUAUGGCCAAAAACAAGAAAAGCACAAAUAGCUAUUUACACAUCAAAUUGCAUACAAGAAACUGCGUUUGAAAGGUUGAGAAAUGGGGAUUGAAGGAAUCGAAUCCGAGCAUCAACAUAGCCGGCGAGUUGGGAGAAGAAGAAGAGACACUUAAAGAAGUUGCAGGGCUUAGAAGGGAAGAGAAAGCGUCGAGGAAGAAGAUGAUGAUGGUGCUGAUAGGUACCAUGUUUUCAAACUUGGGUAUAGUAAUAUGGUAUGAUCAACGAAAUUAUUUAUAUUAUCUCUAGAUUGCACUUUAUUUUUCUAAGUUCUUGGAAUUACGAUAACACUCAAAUUAUGUUUUGCCUUUUCUAUUAAAAGCUAUUCUUUUUUAUUGUUAACAA
Gossypium arboreum is the source of this 504-nucleotide long non-coding RNA. RefSeq lists it as uncharacterized. The record is from RefSeq and is a predicted model, not a curated record. The transcript has 2 exons. Lineage: Eukaryota; Viridiplantae; Streptophyta; Magnoliopsida; Malvales; Malvaceae.